RNAcentral lists this ribosomal RNA (301 nucleotides) under uncultured bacterium. RNAcentral's name for it is "partial 16S ribosomal RNA". It matches the Rfam family "Bacterial small subunit ribosomal RNA", at positions 509 to 807 of the family's 1533-position model. The record is from RNAcentral.
CAGCCGCCGCGGGAAUACGAAGGGGGCUAGCGUUGUUCGGAAUCACUGGGCGUAAAGCGCACGUAGGCGGACUUUUAAGUCAGGGAUGAAAUCCCAAGGCUCAACCUUGGAACUGCCUUUGAUACUGGAAGUCUUGAGUUCGGGAGAGGUGAGUGGAACUGCGAGUGUAGAGGUGAAAUUCGUAGAUAUUCGCAAGAACACCAGUGGCGAAGGCGGCUCACUGGCCCGAUACUGACGCUGAGGUGCGAAAGCGUGGGGAGCAAACAGGAUUAGAUACCCCUGUAGUCCCUGUCUCUUAUAC